CCUACGGGUGGCAGCAGUGAGGAAUAUUGGUCAAUGGACGAGAGUCUGUACCAGCCAAGUCGCGUGAAGGAUGACUGCCCUAUGGGUUGUAAACUUCUUUUAUAUGGGAAUAAAAUGUUCCACGUGUGGGAUUUUGUAUGUACCAUAUGAAUACGGAUCGGCUAACUCCGUGCCAGCAGCCGCGGUAAUACGGAGGAUCCGAGCGUUAUCCGGAUUUAGUGGGGUUAAAGGGUGCGUAGGUGGAUUGUUAAGUCAGUUGUGAAAGUUUGCGGUUCAACCGUAAAACUGCAGUUGAAACUGGCAGUCUUGAGUACAGUAGAGGUAGGCGGAAUUCGUGGUGUAGCGGUGAAAUGCUUAGAUAUCACGAAGAACUCCGAUUGCGAAGGCAGCUCACUGGACUGCAACUGACACUGAGGCUCGAAAGUGUGGGUAUCAAACAGGAUUAGAUACCCCAGUAGUC
RNAcentral lists this ribosomal RNA (460 nucleotides) under uncultured bacterium. RNAcentral's name for it is "partial 16S ribosomal RNA". It matches the Rfam family "Bacterial small subunit ribosomal RNA", at positions 338 to 795 of the family's 1533-position model. The record is from RNAcentral.